This 449-nucleotide ribosomal RNA is filed under the name uncultured bacterium. Its description in RNAcentral is "bacterial SSU rRNA". It matches the Rfam family "Bacterial small subunit ribosomal RNA", at positions 355 to 796 of the family's 1533-position model. The record is from RNAcentral.
UGGGGAAUAUUGGACAAUGGGGGAAACCCUGAUCCAGCGAUGCCGCGUGUGAGAAGAAGGCCUGCGGGUUGUAAAUCACUUUAGUUGGGGAAGAAAAGGGGAAGGUUAAGAGCUAUCCAAAAUGACGUUACCCAAAGAAUAAGCACCGGCUAACUCUGUGCCAGCAGCCGCGGUAAUACAGAGGGUGCGAGCGUUAAUCGGAAUUACUGGGCGUAAAGGGCGCGUAGGCGGUAAUGCAAGUUAGAUGUGAAAUCCCCGAGCUUAACUUGGGAACUGCAUUUAAGACUGCAUGGCUAGAGUAGAAUAGAGGGGAGUGGAAUUUCCGGUGUAGCGGUGAAAUGCGUAGAUAUCGGAAAGAACACCAGUGGCGAAGGCGACUCUCUGGAUUCAUACUGACGCUGAGGCGCGAAAGCAUGGGGAGCAAACAGGAUUAGAUACCCCCGUAGUCC